AGACUGCGUUCGGUCCUAGUCUUGGUACAUCGCCGGAAAUUUCGCCCUUUUUGAGUGCUUGAAAACUUUCAGAUGUUAGAAAGGACGCACAAAUAUUGAUAAAUCGACGAUUUGUGGAAUAUAAGUGAAGUAAAAAGAUUUUUUGACUACCUUCUCGAUAUACUUUUCACUUCUCAGACCAAGGAACCAACGUAAUGUUGCGAACUGCCGCGAAGUUAAAGAAGGUAAGCUAGUGACACUUAGCAUUUGAUAAAAUUGUUUUUAAAGUUUGCUUUCAUUGAAAAGUCCAUGGAGUUGAGAAAUUUGAACUAAAUUUCGAACUAAAAUUCUAAAUUAGUCUGUGAAAAUGAGACUUCUCACAACACAGCGCGGCGACCGAUGACCUAACCUCAAAAUUCACGUCUGUCAAUCUCUGUUUACAUUGCUUAUCACUGUACUUAUUCGCAGAGUUUUAGUCCCUAGUUUAUCAGUUGUCCUAAUUUCUACCCUUUCUGCUGUAGUUUGAAUGCAUUAUAAUAUUUCGGUCUCACAGUGAAUGAGCGAACUCAAUGAAAAAAUUCCAUGUGUAUCAGAGAAUGGAGGAGGUGAUGAAUCUCAAUCUAAAGACAGUAUGAUACCAAAGAGAAAGAAAAAACUUUGCAGUCGCACGCAAACCUGUUUUCUUUAUAUUAUUCUUGCAUUCGUUUGCUCCAGUUUUUAUUGUUAGUAUUACUUUUUCCCUCUAAUUUUUAUUUCUCUUUUCUUUUUUUACCUAACUAUUCUGUAGUAUUAGAAAUACCCAAUUUUAAAGAGGCUACACAAGUGGAGAUAUUUUUGAUGUUACAACAAAAAAACUUGUGAAAUAAUUUGUUGUUUUCCACAUGAGGGAAUUACGGUAACUCCCUCAUUUCAAUGCUGCAAAAUGUGCCCUCGCAAAUUGAAUGAUGAAUAUGCAUGCCCUCUGAAAAAUGUCUUUUCAAUGCAUUAAUAGGUAUCCAACCAAGGGGUCAUUCAUAAAAUAUGCGACACUUCAGGGGGAGGCAAUUUGAGGAGAGCAUGACUCCAUUUUGCUCUUAUAUAUUACCUAAAGGAUGUACAAACCUACUCCACCAAAGUGUUACGAAGGGGGCGAAGGUAAAAAAAUGUGAAAUUGAGACAAGUAAUCCGUAUGUUAAAAGUUUA
This 1161-nucleotide long non-coding RNA is filed under the name Bemisia tabaci. RNAcentral's name for it is "lncRNA ENSSSA2NGG009119". The record is from RNAcentral. Lineage: Eukaryota; Metazoa; Arthropoda; Insecta; Hemiptera; Aleyrodidae.